RNAcentral lists this unclassified non-coding RNA (257 nucleotides) under rhizosphere metagenome. Its description in RNAcentral is "partial ribosomal RNA internal transcribed spacer region". The record is from RNAcentral.
GUAGGUGAACCUGCGGAAGGAUCAUUACCGAACCGUCGACACGAGUUGUUGCUGGUCCUCAAACGGGGGCAUGUGCACGCUCUGUUUACUCAUCCACUCACACCUGUGCACCCACUGUAGUUCUGUGGCUUGGGGGGCUCUGUCCUCUUUGCUGUGGUUCUAUGUCUUUACACACACACUGUAAUAAAGUUUCAUGGAAUGCAUGACGCGUCUAACGCAAUACAAUACAACUUUCAGCAACGGAUCUCUUGGCUCUC